RNAcentral lists this ribosomal RNA (769 nucleotides) under uncultured bacterium. RNAcentral describes it as "bacterial SSU rRNA". It matches the Rfam family "Bacterial small subunit ribosomal RNA", at positions 50 to 832 of the family's 1533-position model. The record is from RNAcentral.
UACACAUGCAAGUCGAACGAGCGAGAGAGAGCUUGCUUUCUCGAGCGAGUGGCGAACGGGUGAGUAACGCGUGAGGAACCUGCCUCAAAGAGGGGGACAACAGUUGGAAACGACUGCUAAUACCGCAUAAGCCCACGGUGCCGCAUGGCACAGAGGGAAAAGGAGUAAUCCGCUUUGAGAUGGCCUCGCGUCCGAUUAGCUAGUUGGUGAGGUAACGGCCCACCAAGGCGACGAUCGGUAGCCGGACUGAGAGGUUGAACGGCCACAUUGGGACUGAGACACGGCCCAGACUCCUACGGGAGGCAGCAGUGGGGAAUAUUGCACAAUGGGGGAAACCCUGAUGCAGCGACGCCGCGUGGAGGAAGAAGGUCUUCGGAUUGUAAACUCCUGUUGUUGGGGAAGAUAAUGACGGUACCCAACAAGGAAGUGACGGCUAACUACGUGCCAGCAGCCGCGGUAAAACGUAGGUCACAAGCGUUGUCCGGAAUUACUGGGUGUAAAGGGAGCGCAGGCGGGAAGACAAGUUGGAAGUGAAAUCUAUGGGCUCAACCCAUAAACUGCUUUCAAAACUGUUUUUCUUGAGUAGUGCAGAGGUAGGCGGAAUUCCCGGUGUAGCGGUGGAAUGCGUAGAUAUCGGGAGGAACACCAGUGGCGAAGGCGGCCUACUGGGCACCAACUGACGCUGAGGCUCGAAAGUGUGGGUAGCAAACAGGAUUAGAUACCCUGGUAGUCCACACCGUAAACGAUGAUUACUAGGUGUUGGAGGAUU